CGGCCGCGGUACUCUGACCGUGCAAAGGUAGCAUAAUCAUUUGCCUCUUAAUUAGAGGCUGGAAUGAAAGGACAAACGAAAUUCCAACUGUAUCAUUCUUACCCUAUAAAAAUUAUACUCCAGGUGAAGAUACCUGGAUUCUAUCGAAAGACAAGAAGACCCUAUAGAGUUUUAGUUCUUUACUUCUCCCUCACUGAAAGAACUUUGGUUGGGGCGACCUAGGAACUUUCUAACAUCCUUUCCUUCAAAAGAACUAUAAUUCCUAUUAACGAUCCUAUCUCUAGACUCCAAAAUAAACUACCUUAGGGAUAACAGGCUUAUCUUCCUAGAGAGCUCAAAUUGACAGGAAGGUCUGGCACCUCGAUGUUGGCUUAGAGUAACCCAAUAACGCAAAAGUUAUUUAAGGUCGGUUUGUUCAACCGUUAAACCUCUACGUGAU
This 439-nucleotide ribosomal RNA is filed under the name Lepidonotopodium cf. okinawae TX-2020. RNAcentral describes it as "partial large subunit ribosomal RNA". It matches the Rfam family "Bacterial large subunit ribosomal RNA", at positions 1928 to 2604 of the family's 2925-position model. Lineage: Eukaryota; Metazoa; Annelida; Polychaeta; Phyllodocida; Polynoidae. The record is from RNAcentral.